CAGUCGCCACGGUAAUACAGAGGGUGCGAGCGUUAAUCGGAUUUACUGGGCGUAAAGCGUGCGUAGGCGGCUUCUUAAGUCGGAUGUGAAAUCCCUGAGCUUAACUUAGGAAUUGCAUUCGAUACUGGGAAGCUAGAGUAUGGGAGAGGAUGGUAGAAUUCCAGGUGUAGCGGUGAAAUGCGUAGAGAUCUGGAGGAAUACCGAUGGCGAAGGCAGCCAUCUGGCCUAAUACUGACGCUGAGGUACGAAAGCAUGGGGAGCAAACAGGAUUAGAUACCCCGGUAGUCCAUGUCUCUUAUAC
This 301-nucleotide ribosomal RNA is filed under the name uncultured bacterium. Its description in RNAcentral is "partial 16S ribosomal RNA". It matches the Rfam family "Bacterial small subunit ribosomal RNA", at positions 509 to 807 of the family's 1533-position model. The record is from RNAcentral.